RNAcentral lists this ribosomal RNA (269 nucleotides) under uncultured bacterium. RNAcentral's name for it is "partial 16S ribosomal RNA". It matches the Rfam family "Bacterial small subunit ribosomal RNA", at positions 86 to 354 of the family's 1533-position model. The record is from RNAcentral.
UUUAUCUUAGUGGCGGACGGGUGAGUAACGCGUGGGUAACCUGCCCUGUACAGGGGGAGUAACACUUAGAAAUAGGUGCUAAAACCGCAUAAGCGCACAGUACCGCAUGGUACAGUGUGAAAAACUCCGGUGGUACAGGAUGGACCCGCGUCUGAUUAGCUGGUUGGAGGGGUAACGGCCCACCAAGGCGACGAUCAGUAGCCGGCCUGAGAGGGUGAACGGCCACAUUGGGACUGAGACACGGCCCAAACUCCUACGGAAGGCAGCAG